AUCCAGCUGACGGAUUCCAAAUAGGACGAAACGAGUGUCUUGGAU
This 45-nucleotide non-coding RNA is filed under the name Schistosoma margrebowiei. Lineage: Eukaryota; Metazoa; Platyhelminthes; Trematoda; Strigeidida; Schistosomatidae. The record is from RNAcentral.